AUACGGAGGGUGCAAGCGUUGUUCGGAAUUAUUGGGCGUAAAGCGCGUGUAGGCGGUUGGUUAAGUCUGAUGUGAAAGCCCUGGGCUCAACCCGGGAAGUGCAUUGGAAACUGGGAGACUUGAGUACGGGAGAGGGUAGUGGAAUUCCUAGUGUAGGAGUGAAAUCCGUAGAUAUUAGGAGGAACACCGGUGGCGAAGGCGGCUACCUGGACCGAUACUGACGCUGAGACGCGAAAGCGUGGGGAGC
RNAcentral lists this ribosomal RNA (247 nucleotides) under uncultured bacterium. RNAcentral describes it as "partial 16S ribosomal RNA". It matches the Rfam family "Bacterial small subunit ribosomal RNA", at positions 523 to 769 of the family's 1533-position model. The record is from RNAcentral.